RNAcentral lists this ribosomal RNA (1711 nucleotides) under Tridentiger bifasciatus (Shimofuri goby). RNAcentral's name for it is "16S ribosomal RNA". It matches the Rfam family "Bacterial large subunit ribosomal RNA". Lineage: Eukaryota; Metazoa; Chordata; Actinopteri; Gobiiformes; Gobiidae. The record is from RNAcentral.
ACAACUCCUAACAGCUAGCCAACACAAAAAACAACAACCAACAUUAAUAACCCCAUAAGCACAAGCAACAAACAACAAAUCAUUUUUCCUCCUAAGUAUGGGCGACAGAAAAGGAAUUUUAGAGCCAUAGAGAAAGUACCGCAAGGGAAAGCUGAAAGAGAAAUGAAAAAACCCAGUAAAGAGACAAAAAGCAGAGACAUAACCUCGUACCUUUUGCAUCAUGACUUAGCUAGUAACCCUCGAGCAAAGUGAACUUUAGUUCGAGCCCCCGAAACUGAGCGAGCUACUUCAAGACAGCCUCAUGCAGGGCAAACCCGUCUCUGUGGCAAAAGAGUGGGAAGAUCUUAAAGUAGGGGUGACAGACCUACCGAGCCCAGUUAUAGCUGGUUGCCUACAAAAUGGAUAUAAGUUCAGCCUUUAACCUUCUUCUCUCAACCAAUAAUAGAUUUAUAUAUAAAUAUAUACUUAUAUACAUACAUAAAUGCCAAGGUGACACAAAGGACAGUUAAAGAGUUAUUCAAAAGGGGAACAGCCCUUUUGAAGAAAGACACAACUUUAUUAGGAGGUUAAAGAUCAAAAGAGCACAAAGCAGGGUACCCUGGUGGGCCUAAAAGCAGCCACCCAUACCGAAAGCGUUAAAGCUCAAGUACCAAGCAAACCUCAAAUCCCGACAACACAAUCUUAAACCCCUUCAAUAAUAGUAGGCCUUUUCAUGCAAACAUGAAAGAGACACUGCUAACAUGAGUAAUAAGAGGGCUGCCCCUCUCCACAACACCUGUAUACAUCAGAACGGACCCCCACUGAUAACUAACGCCCCCAACCAAAGAGGGCACUGGAAAGACAACUUAACUAGAAAAACUCCCAGACUAUAGCGUUAACCCUACACAGGUGUGUUUUAGGAAAGACUAACAGAAAAAGAAGGAACUCGGCAAACACUGGCCUCGCCUGUUUACCAAAAACAUCGCCUCUUGUUCAUUUUAACAUAUAAGAGGUCCCGCCUGCCCACUGACUAUAAGUUCAACGGCCGCAGUAUUUUAACUGUGCAAAGGUAGCGCAAUCACUUGUCUUUUAAAUGAGGACCUGUAUGAAUGGCAUUACGAGGGCUAAGCUGUCUCCUUUUUCCAGUCAAUGAAAUUGAUCUCCCCGUGCAGAAGCGGGGAUGAGCCCAUAAGACGAGAAGACCCUAUGGAGCUUAAGACAAAAGCAGCCCAUGUAAGACACCUAGAUUAAUAGGACAAACAAGUGGAGCCUGCCCAUAUCUUUGGUUGGGGCGACCGAGGGGGAGCAUUCAUCCCCCAUGUGGAAUAGGAACCUACAUUCCUUAAAGCCAGAGCCACAGCUCUAACAAGCAGAACAUCUGACCUUUAAAGAUCCGGCAGAGCCGAUCAACGGACCAAGUUACCCUAGGGAUAACAGCGCAAUCCCCUUUCAGAGCCCCUAUCGACAAGGGGGUUUACGACCUCGAUGUUGGAUCAGGACAUCCUAAUGGUGCAACCGCUAUUAAGGGUUCGUUUGUUCAACGAUUAAAGUCCUACGUGAUCUGAGUUCAGACCGGAGAAAUCCAGGUCAGUUUCUAUCUAUGCAGUGCUCUCUUCUAGUACGAAAGGACCGAAGAGAAGAGGCCCAUGCUUCAAGUAAGCCUUCCCCUUACCCCCUGAAAAAAGCUCAAGGGGGUAAGAGGGCACAAUGCCCUGCCUAAGAAUAAGGCAAA